AAUAUUGCACAAUGGGGUAAACCCUUAUGUAGCGACGCCGCGUGAGUGAAGAAGUAUUUCGGUAUGAAAAGCUCUAUCAGCAGGGACGAAAAUGACGGUACCUGACUAAGAAGCCCCGGCUAACUACUUGCCAGCAGCCGCGGUAAUACGUAGGGGGCAAGCGUUAUCCGGAUUUACUGGGUGUAAAGGGAGCGUAGUUGGUUCGGCAAGUCAGAUGUGAAAGCCCGGGGAUCAACGCGGGGACUGAAUUUGAAACUGUCGUACUAGAGUGCAGGAGAGGUAAGUGGAAUUCCUAGUGUAGCGGUGAAAUGCGUAGAUAUUAGGAGGAACACCAGUGGCGAAGGCGGCUUACUGGACUGUAAAUGACACUGAGGCUCGAAAGCGUGGGGAGCAAACAGG
RNAcentral lists this ribosomal RNA (399 nucleotides) under uncultured bacterium. Its description in RNAcentral is "partial 16S ribosomal RNA". It matches the Rfam family "Bacterial small subunit ribosomal RNA", at positions 360 to 776 of the family's 1533-position model. The record is from RNAcentral.